UCACUCUCAUUAGGAUGUAGCCCCCCCCAGCCUUCAAGGACAUGAGGGGUUUUCCUUCCUUUUCUGCUCUCAUUUUCCAGGUCAUCUCAUUCCUACAUCUUGAGCAGACAAUUAUGUACUAAUAAAAGCUACGAAUAAGGAAAGCUAGACAACUCCCAACUUACACCCUGGCAUUAGGUCCUUCUCUUCUGUAUCCUUCUCUGGAGAGUAAUGAUACCCACCUGGACACAAGCCAGGGAAUUAAACUUCAGCCCCGAUUCACAGACGGCUGCCUUCGUUCAUGGCGUGUGUGAGCACGUAAACAUUCCUGCGUGUACUUUGCUGUCAGCCAAGGUUGAUGCGCACAUAGGUUAAAUUGGUGGAGAAAAUCAACUCAUUCUCCCGCUGCAUCUGAUACAAAUUUCUAAGUCUGGCUGGGCCUUGUGCUGAGUAUUCGCUCAUCUUAACCAUCUCUACAGUGGUUACCCCAGACUUCAUCCUCUCAUCUCGAAUCCUCCACUCCAGACUUUCCUACCACACCUCAUUGUCUAUAGAUAGCCCUGCAAG
RNAcentral lists this long non-coding RNA (546 nucleotides) under Bos taurus (domestic cattle). RNAcentral describes it as "long non-coding RNA NONBTAT015689". The record is from RNAcentral. Lineage: Eukaryota; Metazoa; Chordata; Mammalia; Artiodactyla; Bovidae.